Non-coding RNA from Ophidiomyces ophidiicola, 82 nucleotides. NCBI's taxonomy places the organism in Eukaryota, Fungi, Ascomycota, Eurotiomycetes, Onygenales, Onygenaceae. The record is from the annotation of a RefSeq genome assembly.
GGGCGUUUGGUUUAGUGGUAUAACGUAUCACCCGCAUGACCUCGCGAUGAUAAGGUCGCCGGUUCGAUUCCGGCAACGUCCA